ACCCCGUGCGUCCCGUCGCUCACUAUCUCUAUUCUGCAUGGUAUGCCCCGCCUCCAAAAAUCGGGUAGGCGGGGGGAGUCAUAGCCUUCAGCUCGUUCUUGCACUACUGCUUGCCAUUUUGUUAGUCCAAGAGCACAGG
Caenorhabditis elegans is the source of this 139-nucleotide non-coding RNA. The record is from Ensembl. Lineage: Eukaryota; Metazoa; Nematoda; Chromadorea; Rhabditida; Rhabditidae.